RNAcentral lists this ribosomal RNA (207 nucleotides) under uncultured bacterium. RNAcentral describes it as "partial 16S ribosomal RNA". It matches the Rfam family "Bacterial small subunit ribosomal RNA", at positions 568 to 774 of the family's 1533-position model. The record is from RNAcentral.
CGCGUAGGCGGCUGGGUAAGCGUGUGGUGAAAGCCCGGGGCUCAACCCCGGGUUGGCCAUGCGAACUGUCCAGCUGGAGCACGGUAGAGGCACAUGGAAUUCCGGGUGUAGCGGUGGAAUGCGUAGAGAUCCGGAAGAACACCGGUGGCGAAGGCGGUGUGCUGGGCCGUGGCUGACGCUGAGGCGCGACAGCGUGGGGAGCAAACA